RNAcentral lists this long non-coding RNA (3322 nucleotides) under Nicotiana tabacum (common tobacco). RNAcentral describes it as "long non-coding RNA (NTAB_LNC008692)". Lineage: Eukaryota; Viridiplantae; Streptophyta; Magnoliopsida; Solanales; Solanaceae. The record is from RNAcentral.
CCGUUUCAUAGACAGACACAGUCCUAUGCCUACUGAAGAUGAGGAUUUCCAUUUUCAUUCAAUGAAAUUUCCGAAAAAUCCAAGGUUUUGCUCACUGAAUGUAACGUGAUUUCAUCCUUCAUUCAAGACUUCAAGCUAAUGACACCUUAUUAUCCCCAAUAUACAUCAACCCAAGUUAGCCGCAAACCCCUCUUCAAAGAACCUCCACCAGAUCUCACCCCUUUCGAUUAUUCUGCUUUCUAAUCUCAUAGAUUUUCUUAUUGAAUUUGGAAUUCAUCACGUGGUUUCGUUUUGGUAUCAUUUGGAAAUUGAGGUCGCCGGCAAGGUUCCGUUCGAGGUUGCCGUUGAGGUGUCCAGCCGACUGAUCUGUUCGUAGUUAUCGGCGAAAGCUCCAAUCCAGAACUACCAAAUUGCUAGGCUUGUAGUUCCAACCCCCGUUCAUUUGUGCAAGAGGUCCGAUUUUUGCCUUAUAAUCUCUUGGAUAAUGGUUAAAUUCCUUGUUUGCUUUUAUUCUGUUGAAGUUACUUGUUGAAACCAUUUUGAAUUUUGUUUCCAUAUUUGUUAAGAACGUUGAGGUGUUGCUUCGAUUCUUUUGGAUUAUACCUUAGUCAUGCUGCUUUGGUAUUUAUUGGUAAAUAAUGCGUAAAUCGCAUUUUGUUUGAUAAUAUGGAAUUCAUGGAUAUGAAACUUUUUGUUGCCUCCAUUCCAGAAGGUUUGUGUCAUAGCCUUCUAAAUCAUCUUCUAUCUGCUGUUGUUUUUCGAGGAGAUCAAGCCAUCAAUUUGAAAUUUUGGACUACUCUACCUCAACUUCGUUACUUUGGACAUGUUCUCACGGAGCAUGAGGUUUAGCUUGUUAAUUUUUAUCUCCUACAUUUGAUAUAGUCAUGCAUACAUUAAACAACAUUUAUUAUAGGGAAGGGGAAAGAGCUGUAAUAGUUAGACUUUAAUAGAGAUUUUUAGGCUUUUUAACAUAAUUAAAUACAAAGAGAUUGUCAAUUUUGUCUAACACGAUGCAUACGUAUAAAAUUUCUCUUUCUCCUCUGUUUUAAUGCGUGUUAUUGUCCAUUUGGUUGGAACAUGAUGGAUGGACAAAUUUGAAUGAUUUUUAUGACCGAUCAUGUUAGUUUUAAUAAAUUGAGGCGUGCCAUGCCAAAUAAAGUCUCAAACCCUAUGACCCUCGAAUAAUUAAUGUGAUCUCCUUAGAAAUCGAGGUGUACCAUUUAAUUGAAUUUUCAUGGCCCUCGCAAAGUUGAAAGUGCGUAGUUGCUUUAGGCGUGCUAUUUAAAAAUUAUUUUCCUAAACUCGAGUGUGCAUUUAUGUGAACCAUAUCCAAAUCUCAACAACGUUAAAUAAAAUAUGUUGUGGACUGCGGGUGCAUUUAUGUGACGUGGUUCAGGACGUGUUUUAGAUGACGUUAAAUCUUUCUCCUAAAAAACAAUUAAUUAAAGCAGUUAUAAAGUUAAAAUUGAACCAUAGGUUAAAAUAUGUAUUAAAAUCAGAUAAUAGGCCAAUUGUAACAGUUGAGCGACCGUGUUAGAACCACGGAACUCGGGAAUGCCUAAUACCUUCUCCCGGGUUAACAGAAUUCCUUAUCCGGAUUUCUGUGUCCGCGGACUGUAAUACUGAGUCAAUCUUUUCCUCGAUUCGGGAUUUAAAACUGGUGACUUGGGACACCACAAAUUAUUCCAAGUGGCGACUCUGAAUUUUUAAUAAAAUAAUCCCGUUUCGAUUGUCAUUUUAAGUUGGAAAAAACUCCCUUAUACACCCUCUCGGGAUGUAGAAAAGGAGGUGUGACAUGGUUUAACAAUUUUUAUUAAAACUUAAGCUUGGGAGCUCGGAUUUGAGCGAGAUUUUGAGGGACUUUCAGAGAUAUCGAUUGGGUAACGAUUCUUAAAUGAUUCUGGCUUGUAACACAUUAAUCUAAACAUGAAUUCAUCGUUUAAUUUCGGAAUUUGUAUGAAAAUUGGGGAAACAUUCUUAGACCAAGCAUUUGAGUUUUGAUUGAGGAUUUGACAUUGGAUUGGGGUAAUUUUGAUAUGGUUAGACUCGUGAAAGUGUGAGAAUUCUAAAAAUUUAAAUUUUACCCGAUUCCGAGACAUGGGCCCGUGGGACAUUUUGGUCAUUUUACCUAAUUUUGCGUAUUAGCUUAGAUUUUCUUUGUAGAAUCAGUUACAUGAAGUCUUAUUUACGUUAUGAAAUUGAAUUGAAUAUAUUUGGGCUAUUUGCAGUCGAGUACUCGUGGCAAGAACGUGGUCUCAGAUUGAUUUUGAGCCGGUUCGAGGUAAAUGGCUUGUCUAACCUUGUGUGGGGGACCUUCCCCUUAGGAUUGGUAUAUUUGGUAAUUGAAAUACUUUGUACGUGAGGUGACGAGUGCGUACUUGUGCAAAUUAUUAGAAAUCCGAUUUUCUUUAAGUAUUUAUUAGUAUGUUCUUUUCCUGUUUUUAUUACUUGUGCUAUUAAGCCUAUUGUUAGCUUAGGAAAGUAUGUCUAAGUGAGUUAGUUGCUUUUAUUGUCCAACCUGCUUAACUGAAUUCUGUGCAACAUGCUAGGUUAGAAUCACUUGUUUACCUUAAUAUGAAAUUUGCCAUUACUGUAUAAUUUCCUGUUGCUGCUUGUAUUUAUUUUGGGACUACGAAUGUGGAAUUCCGGUAGCUCCCCCUUAUCUGUUUAUUUUGGGACUACAGAUGUGGGAUUUCGGUAGAUCCGCCUGCACAGUUAUAUGGAACUACGGGAAUGCACCCAGUACUGGUUAUUUAUAUUUGGGACUACGGAACGGGAUUCCAGUAGAUCCCCGCGCACUAUGAGUUUGACUACGGGACGACAUCCUGGGAGAUCCAUUGGAUAUGUACAUAUGAGACUACAUGGCGGUAUAAUGGGAGAUCCCUGAUUGUUAUUAUUAGUGCUGAGCUGUAUUUCCUUUCCGUGUUUACCUUGUUUUUGUAUAGUUGUUGAUGUCCUGUACAUCCUGUAUUAUUUUACUAUUGUACUUAUUUAUACUAUUUUGUUCUAUACUGUUGAUCUUUAUAUUUUAUUUAACCUCAAUAGGGCCUGACCUUCCUCGUCACUACCCAACCGAGGUUAGACUUAGCACUUACUGAGUACCGCUGUGGUGUACUCAUGCUCUUUCUGUGCAUGUUUUUCAUGUGCAGAUCCAGGUACCGCUACUCAGGCCUACUAUCCUUGAGGGAAGCAACUACUCUAGAGACUUCGAGGUACAUCUGCCGCGUCUGCAGACCGAGGAGUCCCUUUCUAUUCUAGCUGUUAAACGUUGCCCUUCUGUAUUUUCUUUCUUGUUAGAUAUUCUGGAGUUAGACUAUUAGAU